CAAAACAGCACGCCUGUCUUCGGACGGGUUCGCUACCAACCCUUUGUUUUCCAAACCUCGUUGCCUCCGGGGCGACCCUGACCUCCGGGUCACGGGGGACCCCGGGUGGACAUUCAAACUCUGCGUAACUUUGCAGUCUGAGUAAAACAAGUUAAUAAAUUA
Molecule: unclassified non-coding RNA, 162 nt
Filed under: uncultured Toxicocladosporium
Lineage: Eukaryota; Fungi; Ascomycota; Dothideomycetes; Capnodiales
Description: sequence contains ITS1
Source: RNAcentral